Molecule: small RNA, 546 nt
Filed under: Pongo abelii (Sumatran orangutan)
Lineage: Eukaryota; Metazoa; Chordata; Mammalia; Primates; Hominidae
Description: processed transcript
Source: RNAcentral
GACUUCUCUAGUCUCUGUCCCACAGACAGGUAUAAAAUGUUAAGAGCCCUAUUGGAAUAUCUGCCACAGAGAAGGCAGAACAGUUGAAAAGAGCAGGCAAAAGAAUCCUCGAAGCUUAUGUAUCCAGACACAGACAGCUCCCGAUGUGCUGCCCCCUGAGAAAACACUUGAAUUGACGCAAUAUAAAACAAAAUGUGAAAACCAAAGUGGAUUUAUCCUGCAGCUCAAGCAGCUUCUUGCCUGUGGUAAUACCAAGUUUGAGGCAUUGACAGUUGUGAUUCAGCACCUGCUGUCUGAGCGGGAGGAAGCGCUGAAACAACACAAAACCCUAUCUCAAGAACUUGUUAACCUCCGGGGAGAGCUAGCUUGACCUUCAGUUCACAGAAUUCCUGGCACUGAUCUGACUAAGCCUAGCAGAACUUCUGAUGAGCAAAACGUUUCUCUUGCUGAAGAGAGGGACAGAAUUAUUUUUGUAAUUGUGUGAAUUCCUGUUAAAUAAUGUUGUCAUUUUUUUUUUUCUGAACCACUUUUCGUAUGAGAAUAGUG